This 253-nucleotide ribosomal RNA is filed under the name uncultured bacterium. RNAcentral's name for it is "partial 16S ribosomal RNA". It matches the Rfam family "Bacterial small subunit ribosomal RNA", at positions 524 to 776 of the family's 1533-position model. The record is from RNAcentral.
UACGUAGGGGGCUAGCGUUGUCCGGAUUUAUUGGGCGUAAAGAGCGUGUAGGCGGCCAGGUAGGUCUGCUGUGAAAACUCGAGGCUUAACCUCGAGAUGUCGGCGGAAACCAUCUGGCUAGAGUCCGGAAGAGGAGAGUGGAAUUCCUGGUGUAGCGGUGAAAUGCGCAGAUAUCAGGAAGAACACCCGUGGCGAAGGCGGCGUUCUGGACUGCAACUGACACUGAGGAACGAAAGCCAGGGGAGCAAACGGG